UACAGGGGGGUGCAAACGUUGCUCGGAAUCAUUGGGCGUAAAGCGCACGUAGGCGGUUCGUUAUGUCGGAUGUGAAAGCCCUUGGCUUAACCGAGGAAGUGCAUCCGAAACUGGCGAGCUAGAGUACGAAAGAGGAUCGCGGAAUUCCCGGUGUAGAGGUGGAAUUCGUAGAUAUCGGGAGGAACACCGGUGGCGAAGGCGGCGAUCUGGGUCGAUACUGACGCUGAGGUGCGAAAGCGUGGGGAGCAAACAGG
This 254-nucleotide ribosomal RNA is filed under the name uncultured bacterium. RNAcentral's name for it is "partial 16S ribosomal RNA". It matches the Rfam family "Bacterial small subunit ribosomal RNA", at positions 524 to 776 of the family's 1533-position model. The record is from RNAcentral.